Sorghum bicolor (sorghum) is the source of this 1629-nucleotide long non-coding RNA. RefSeq lists it as uncharacterized. The record is from RefSeq and is a predicted model, not a curated record. Lineage: Eukaryota; Viridiplantae; Streptophyta; Magnoliopsida; Poales; Poaceae. The transcript has 4 exons.
ACCCUGGCCGCCACCCCUGCCAUCUGCCGACACCACCCUCGACCGCGGCUCCCCAUCCCCAAUUCGCGACGGCGCACCAUCCUCGGCCACGAUCCGCGGCGGCGUGGCACCCUUCCCCAGAGCGGCCCCACCCCGCGCGAGCGCAUGGUUUCGUCCCGCACCGGCGGUGAGCACGGCCGCGCCUCCCAGCUGCGAUGGUGCAGGCCCCCAUCCACCUGACGGUGGCCUGCCUAGCGCGCCAUGACGUCAAGGCAGCGACCGAGAUCAUGGUGGCACGACGCGACCUACGCUGAAGAUGCCCCUCGGCGGCGGCGCGACCAUGGUACUCCGUGGAGGUGCUGGCGUGCGGUGAUCCAGAUGGAGUUUUGGCAGGGACAACCAUGAUGACCCGCAGCGGUGGCAGCAUCUUUUGCCGAGGCGGUGGUCGUGGAAGUCGACCUUCUUUGGCUGCAUCCUGCUCACUCGUUCCUCGCGUCGGCAUCUCCUGCUCAACGAUUUGGAACAUAAGGUUUGGCCCACCUACAGGCCCCCACAUUGAUGAGGCCAGCCGCGUGGCCCUCGACGCGCACAGAUUUGGUCACGAUGGGGCUUCAUCUGACUGCAGCCGCCCCCCCUAUUAAUUUUCAAUUUGGAACAUGUGACUAGAGGCAAGGAGGAUCCUACACCUACUGCUGCAGCUCCCCCAGGCUCCCCAUGUGUUCUAUGCUUGAUGAGUUAGGUUUUUACACUUUUAGAUCAAGCCUUUGACUAUGAAAUUUGAUUGUUUUUUUUUGCAGAUUUAGAAUACGACACAUAUCAAUUUUGUGUGCUUGCAUUUCUUGAUUGUUCAAAUUAUUCAUGCUUAGUUUUAUUCAUGCUUAGGUUUCUACGUAAUUUUGAUUUAGAAAAUUGAUGUAUCCCGCGAGAGACACCUGGUGAGUUUCUAUGCAUGUGGAUGGAUUGUUCUAUGCAUUUUUUGCAUGCUGAUCCGGAGGAAAGUAAUAGUUUUUAUAUUUGCAUGUAUAGAUUUAGAUGCAUGGUGAAACUUUGAUUAUGCUUAGUUGUAUUUGUUUCCACCCUAAUUGAUUUCAAAUUCUAAAUUUUGAAGAAGUCUGUAUACAUUGUGGAGCACUCUUUUAUGCACUGUAGAACAAUUCGACAUAUAUUGUUUGAGUAAUUAUCUCUAUGUACCUACGCAGUCUUGGAUUUUUGGUUCAGAUGCAUUGUGGAGCACUUUUCUCUACACUGUUAGAAUAAUUAUCUGCGCACAAUUCUUCUAUGCUUAGUUGUAUGGGGUUUAUCUAAUUUUUGGUUGCAGCUUGGAUGAAUAGGUGGUUUGCAUGAAAUGAAAAAGCUAUCAACGCAAGUUUCUAUGCUUGAUGAAUUAAGAUUUUACACAUUCAGAACCAUUCAGGUGGCAAGUUCGAUGGAAGAUAGCAAAGGAGCAGCACAACGCGGCCAAGGAUUUUUUUCAUUUUAUUUGUUUAAUUUAGUGUUCUUAUGCUUGUAUGCAUAAAUUUCUAUACACACAAUGGAGCACUUCUAUGCAUUUUUGUAUUCUUAAUGCUUGUGAGCAUAAGUUUCUAUACAUUGUUGGAGCAGGUCUAUGUUGUUUUUAUGCAACAAUAAAUUCACUUUUUAUUCAUCAAA